GUUUUCAGAGAUGAGAAUGUGCCUUCGGGAACCGUGAGACAGGUGCUGCAUGGCUGUCGUCAGCUCGUGUUGUGAAAUGUUGGGUUAAGUCCCGCAACGAGCGCAACCCUUAUCCUUUGUUGCCAGCGGUCCGGCCGGGAACUCAAAGGAGACUGCCAGUGAUAAACUGGAGGAAGGUGGGGACGACGUCAAGUCAUCAUGGCCCUUACGACCAGGGCUACACACGUGCUACAAUGGCGCAUACAAAGAGAAGCGACCUCGCGAGAGCAAGCGGACCUCAUAAAGUGCGUCGUAGUCCGGAUUGGAGUCUGCAACUCGACUCCAUGAAGUCGGAAUCGCUAGUAAUCGUGGAUCAGAAUGCCACGGUGAAUACGUUCCCGGGCCUUGUACACACCGCCCGUCACACCAUGGGAGUGGGUUGCAAAAGAAGUAGGUAGCUUAACCUUCGGGAGGGCGCUUACCACUUUGUGAUUCAUGACUGGGGUGAAGUCGUAACAAGGUAACCGUAGGGGAACCUGCGGUUGGAUCACCUCCUU
This 536-nucleotide ribosomal RNA is filed under the name Shigella flexneri. RNAcentral's name for it is "bacterial SSU rRNA". It matches the Rfam family "Bacterial small subunit ribosomal RNA", at positions 996 to 1532 of the family's 1533-position model. Lineage: Bacteria; Pseudomonadati; Pseudomonadota; Gammaproteobacteria; Enterobacterales; Enterobacteriaceae. The record is from RNAcentral.